RNAcentral lists this ribosomal RNA (468 nucleotides) under uncultured bacterium. RNAcentral describes it as "partial 16S ribosomal RNA". It matches the Rfam family "Bacterial small subunit ribosomal RNA", at positions 28 to 507 of the family's 1533-position model. The record is from RNAcentral.
GACGAACGCUGGCGGCGUGCUUAACACAUGCAAGUCGAACGGAAAGGCCCUGCUUUUGUGGGGUGCUCGAGUGGCGAACGGGUGAGUAACACGUGAGUAACCUGCCCUUGACUUUGGGAUAACUUCAGGAAACUGGGGCUAAUACCGGAUAGGAGCUCCUGCUGCAUGGUGGGGGUUGGAAAGUUUCGGCGGUUGGGGAUGGACUCGCGGCUUAUCAGCUUGUUGGUGGGGUAGUGGCUUACCAAGGCUUUGACGGGUAGCCGGCCUGAGAGGGUGACCGGCCACAUUGGGACUGGGGUACGGCCCAGACGCCUACGGGAGGCAGCAGUGGGGAAUAUUGCACAAUGGGCGGAAGCCUGAUGCAGCAACGCCGCGUGCGGGAUGACGGCCUUCGGGUUGUAAACCGCUUUCGCCUGUGACGAAGCGUGAGUGACGGUAAUGGGUAAAGAAGCACCGGCUAACUACGUG